CCAGACUUGGGCUUGGUUAAUCAUCUGGGGUUCUCCCCAGUGCACUUUUCCAGUCCAGGCCAGCAUCAGUUUGGGCGGUUGGAUAAAGACCUCUGUCACGUACCUUCUCUCGGGAAGGCCUUAUAGGGGAGGUGUCAUGCAACCAGCCUGGACUGAGGUCCGCGCAUCUGCUAGGAUGCUGGCGUAAUGGCUGUAAGCGG
RNAcentral lists this ribosomal RNA (200 nucleotides) under Cucurbitariaceae sp. RNAcentral's name for it is "partial large subunit ribosomal RNA". Lineage: Eukaryota; Fungi; Ascomycota; Dothideomycetes; Pleosporales; Cucurbitariaceae. The record is from RNAcentral.